Molecule: non-coding RNA, 23 nt
Filed under: Arabidopsis thaliana (thale cress)
Lineage: Eukaryota; Viridiplantae; Streptophyta; Magnoliopsida; Brassicales; Brassicaceae
Source: RNAcentral
UUGUGGACAUCUAUAAAUAGCCA